This is a non-coding RNA of Peromyscus maniculatus bairdii (prairie deer mouse), 365 nucleotides long. NCBI's taxonomy places the organism in Eukaryota, Metazoa, Chordata, Mammalia, Rodentia, Cricetidae. The record is from RefSeq and is a predicted model, not a curated record.
AUUUGCAACACCACUAAAAAAAAAAAAAAACACCUGGGUAUGGCUGUGCAUACAAGUAACCAUGGCACUGUGGAAUGGAGACCAGUAGAUCCUAAAAGGCCUAAAAGAUUGUACCAAUGGGAACUCAGAUGUUUGGAUGGGGUCUGGGUGAGGAUUGAUUGCGAUGUCUACUACCCUUCCCUGCUGUCCAGUUCCUUGGUAUUGUGAAGGUCUACUUACAGUUCCCAUUUCAACAAUAGCAAACACCACAGCUCCCUGGGUACUGAGUCCUUGCUCGUGCUUUGACCAUGGAUGCUGAGUUUCGUUCUCACGGCCAUCAUAUAUUGACUUCGUCUCCAUAAAAAUACUCUGAACUUCUUUCCAGA